Long non-coding RNA from Scylla paramamosain (green mud crab), 1552 nucleotides. RefSeq lists it as uncharacterized. The transcript is spliced from 3 exons. The record is from RefSeq and is a predicted model, not a curated record. NCBI's taxonomy places the organism in Eukaryota, Metazoa, Arthropoda, Malacostraca, Decapoda, Portunidae.
GUUGUGUAAUUUAGAGUUAAGAAUUCUGGAUAAAGGAUUCUGUCAUCAGAAUAACUCCAUCAAGAAAUACCCAUGGUUACUGAAGCAAUGGUACAGUGGAGGGCAAGGACUGGAAUAUACCAUCUAGAAGCGUGUAUUGCUGAACCCAGGAGGAGUAUGAUCAAAUGUGACAAAAUAGUUUUGCAUUUCACUCUUUUUCCAGUUCGCCAUUUCCAGGACAAGCAAGGUAAUAUAGAAUAAUAAUAAUGAUAAUAGUAAUAGCAAUAAUCUACUAUACUCAUUCUCACAAAUUUCCCUCAUGAACAAAGGCAGCACCAGAAAAAAAAAAAAUCUAAUGUAAUAUUCCUGAUGACUUCAAAAGGAAGUUGGAGAGAAGUAGUGAAAUUAAUUGGGGGAUGCAUGAUCAUAUUCUGAGACACUUGCAUGCCGAUAAGUUGAUCCACCAAUGAUCAAAGAAGCGGAAGGCUGAGUGGAAAAAAGUGAGACACCGGAUCCAUGACUGUAGCUCGAGUUUACAUCUGUCCUGUGACAAAUUUGAACAAUUAUCAUCUUUAGCAACCCUUUAGCUCCAUCAGCGUCCUGUUGGUAAACCUAUUAUUAAAAAGGAAAUCUUUUGUCCUUAGUAAAAAGUGAUCAUUCAGUAUUCGGUUUACUCAGUUUCGGAGUGUAAUCGAACCAUACUGGAACCUAAGGAUCUACGUACGUCAUUUUUUCUAGUACGAAACUCAACACCUAAAUUGCAGAAAUACGAAACUUUUUGGAUAAUUAACCCAUUAUUUUUGCAUAACAUUUUCUUACAUGUAAUUUGAGAUUGCACCGUACUUUGUGAGUUAGGUGACUGUGCCGGUGAAGGGAGCGCAUAGCUAGAGAUGCGCAUUAAGCAACGCGCAGCGGAAGGAAACAUGGCGGAGACGAGACGAACAAUUGAGAAUGUUCUGCAUUUUGGAGCUAUUUACAAACAUCCCAAGGCAUACACACGCCGAGAAAAGAUAUCAAGAUACAUCUGGAAUAUAACGCAACCCUCACACAUCAUUUGAAAGGGUAAUGAGAAAGUGAUUUAUGAACCCCAAUGACAUCCCAAGAGCACAGGCAUGACAGCUGCCUCAUCUUCAGGAAGGCGUACGUGAGGCGAAUGACUGCAGGUUGUUGUUGACACCUGCCACUGCCAGCUGGACGGGCAGAAUUGGUGAUGCCCAGGACCAGGGAGCUGUGUGGCAGAGUACAGUGUCAGUGGAAGUGUGGGCACUGCAGCAGAAGUGUUCUAUGGUCUCUUGUGGACUCGUGGCAGUGAAGGUCAGGGGUCAGAGCAGCAAGUGUCGUGUGGUCCAGACAGGGGUAGUGUUGGCAUUGUCGGAACCCGUGGCUAUCGGAGGAGUCACUGUGGUACUGACCCAUGGAAGUGAUGAGGAUGGUGUCACCGAGUGCGCUGCCCCACCUGCUGUGGCGCAUACAUUAUUAUGGUUAUCAUCAAAGCAUCGAGAAAAAAUAAGAUUCACAGCGAGAUAAUGAAAAAAAAUAAAUAAAUAAAAUAAAACUGCACCGAUUAUAAUAU